Molecule: long non-coding RNA, 4378 nt
Filed under: Triticum aestivum (bread wheat)
Lineage: Eukaryota; Viridiplantae; Streptophyta; Magnoliopsida; Poales; Poaceae
Description: long non-coding RNA (TAES_LNC010402)
Source: RNAcentral
UUUUUUUUUGCUUUUGCUACUUUUCAUUUGCUGUUUUCUCUUUAUUAAUUUGUAUUUCCUUUUUUGUUUGUUUUUUAUUCCAUUUUGUUCUUUUAAAUACAUGUUGAAUAUUCUCUCAAAAAUUGCAAGAACAUUUUUCUAAAACUAAUGUGAAUAUUUUUCAAACACAUGUUGAACUUUUUCCAAACACAUAUUGAAAUUUUUCCAAACACAUAAUAAACAUCUUUAGAAUACACGGUGAACAAUUCUUAAACAUGCGGAGAAAUUUUUUCAACCCAUGGUGAAGAUUUUUUUUAAUUCAUGAAUAUUUUUCCCAAAUUUGUGAACAUGGUGGACAAUCAAUUAAUCAGCAAGCAUUUCUGAGAGUUGUUAAUAUUUUAUGAACAUUUUGAAAAUGCAUGACAUUUAAAAAAAUCUUGAUGCACAUAUUUUUGAAAUAUGAAAGCUUGUAAAAAAAUGCCUGACCAUUUUUUAGCUUCACGGAUAUUUUACAAAAAAAUAUGCAUUUUUUAAAGAAACAUGAAAAAUAUAAGUGCUUUUCCAACCCAAACAUGCUAAAAACUUAAACAGGAAAAAAAGGUUUUUUCAAUGCCAAUGUACACACUGCUAUUAUGUAACACGGGACAAAUCAUAGUUUUGCUAAAACAGAGCAGACCAUGUGCUAGUUGAAUAAAAUCAAGGAGUCACUAACAAGCGGGAAAUAAAACAUCUAUUUUGUAUUUUAAGUAUAAAUAAUAGCUGGAAAUAAAAGUACAUGGAAAUAAGAUUUUAGAUUUUUUUUAUUGAAAGUGCAUCUAGUCCUUCCUAGUGGGUUUUGAUGACUAAUUACAAAUCAUUAAGGGAUUAGUGUGUUUAAUGAGUAUACAUGUGAUGUUUAUUGAACCUAGACUAGAGACGUCGAUCACUAAAAUUGUGGAGAGCAUGAAAUACAUGGUUUGUCUCCCAGAGAUUUAGUGGAGAUUUUAUAGCUUUCAGUGCCUCAGUGAGUCGCUUGAGUUUUAAGAGUGAGUAUAAUAAGGUGAUGUAAGCGGGAUAUAAGGGUUUGAAUAUCAUAUUAUUGUUGAGUUGAAAGAGAUAUAAAAUAAGCAGGUCAUAGAUUAAGUGUCAGUUAUAACGGGGAUUUCAAGGAACUUUAUGAGAAUGCAAGGUGUGCUAUGUGUUCACAAAGUAGUACUACGUCUCUCUAGGUUUAUUAGUCCUUAUCGUAUUUUGGGUCAAAGCUUGACCAUAUAUUUGAUUAGCAAAAAAUUAAUGCAUGCCACAGAUAAAUAAUAUUAUGGAAUUUGAAUUUGAAGGUAAUUUUCAAUGAUAUUAUUUUUUAUACAUAUAACUUAUAUUUUAUAUCAGUUAAAAUCAUGGUGGAAAUAUGAUUCAAAAUACGACGGGACCAGUAAAUCAGGACGGAGGAAGUACUUCUUGAACUUCUAUGCAUGUUGGAUAUUAGAUUGGCUAUAAAUGAUAUGGCAACAUUAUAUAGGCAACAACUGACUUACAACCAUGCUCUAAGGCAAAAAAAGGUGCAUACACGUCAAAUCUCAUAUCAAUAGUGUAAUUUACUAGCAUCCUUUUACUUUUCGGACAAGGAGAAAAUAAAAAGAUGGAUUGGUAGCAUUUAGCAAGGUAGUCAUCACAUCCAAACCAACCAAAUAAUUGAUCCCAAUGUGAAGUUUACAAACAAGGGGUAGAAAAAUGCGAUAGGGCCCAAAACAUGUAGGCUAGUAGCAUUUCGGUAACACGGCACAAUUGAUCAGUUCCAACACGCGUGAGGAUGGAACUUUGGUCUCUGUUCUCAGAAGCAGGCGUCCAAGAGACAACAGCAGCAAAGCGCGGCCAGGCUGUUGGAACAAUAUCAUAAGAGAAUCAUGAGAUAUAAUCAAGGCGAGUUUCUAAACAAAGAAAAAAAAAGAAGAAAAUUACUAAAUCGACAAUAAUUAAUACGAAUCAAAAGGAUUGCUAUAACCACAUAUCCAAAUGUUGACAGAUUUGUACAAAACGAAGAUUAUACAACUGAGAAGUGGGUUCGUUCCACCUUACAUUCUUGUUCUUUUAUUGUAAAGACUAGUACUCCCUCAGUUAAUACUGAUGUUCAUAUUAGGCAUGAUAUUAAUUAUUGAAGGGUGCUAAACAUGUUUAACACUGAACACCGGAGUGACUUAAACCAUUGGAUAGAUGCGGUUGAACGCAUAUAACCUGUUGGACCUCUGUAACUCGCUCUUUAUAUUGGGAGAAAAUUCCUUAUUUGACACUAUCUUAAAAUCUGCUUCCUUAUUUGACACUGAAAUAGUUUUUCUUCUUUAUUUGACACAAGUUCUAAAUUUUAUUCCCUAUAUGACAUUUUCGUCCAUUUUAAGUCUAAAUGACACCUGAAAAGACUCGUUUGCCCCUCAUGUGGUAUGUGUAUGGGGGGCAAUAGCGCACACACGCAGCAUCAAUGCGAAAGCAGAAGCACACAUGCAUCAACACAUACACAUGCACCAACACACACGCACACACACACACACACACACACGCACGCGCGCGUGCACACACACACGCACACUCACACACAUGCACGCGCGCGUGCACACACACACGCACACUCACACACACGUAGCAACACACACGCACGCAGCACACACCCACAUACACACACACGCAGCAGCACACACGCAGGCAUCACAUAGGCACGCAACAACACACACACGCGCACGUACACACGCAGUAGCAAACACACACGCAGCAGCACACAUGCACACACACAUGCAGCAGUAGCACACAUGUGCGCCUGCACCCACACACGCACGCGAGCACACAUACCACAUGAGAGGCAAAAUCGUCUUUUCAGGUGUCAUUUAGACUCAAAAUGAACGGAAGUGUCGUAUAGGGAAUAAAAUUUAGGACUAGUGCCAAAUAGGGAAGAAAAACUUUUCCAGUGUCAAAUAAGGAAUCAGAUUUUAAGACAGUGCCAAAUAAGAAAUUUUCUCUUAUAUUGGAAUUCAAUAUAGAAUACAGAAAUAGAUAUAGAGGAAAGCCAUUUAUUGCCACAAAUUGCAAGUUCCCGCUAAUUAGGCUAGUUAUAGUGGAAGUAACUUAGGUAGUAACAUAGCGCACCUCGAGAAUUUUUUGCUUAUGUGACAAAUAGUUAAUGAGAAGUAGUAACAUAAUAUGUUACUGUAACAUAACGUUUUUCAAGACAAUAUGAGUCUACAAGCUAUUAAAUGAGGCCACAUAUGACACUAGUAUUAUAUUACUUUGUACUAUGAAGAUAGUAACUUAGACUAGUGUCAUGCAUAUGACACUAGUCUAAGUUACUUCCCACUAUCUGUAUGUACGACAGACGACAUUGGUGCUGGCGGGCGCCGGGCGCCGUCUACAAAACACCAGAUAUUGGUCAAGUGGGGGGAGGUGGGCAUAUUCCAAGCAAUCUGUAGAGAACCAAUUAUCGUAACACCAGCACAUGGUCGCAUGUGAAAUGCUGAAUUUUAUACUGCUCUAGAACACUUCACAGCAAAUGAAUUUGGACGAUUUCCAGCUUUUGCAUCUUGUCCGUCCGCCGGCCGCCGGAGAAGAUAUCAUCAUCAUGAAGAUCAUAUACUUCGAUCGUCAAGAUAUCUAUGCCGAUAUCUUCUCGGUUAUGGAAGCUACCGCUCUUGAUCUCAUCAAUGAAAUCUCCGGGUAUAUAUGAAUAUCAGGUACGAACAGGUAGGAUUCGUACGUCCCGUUUGACCGAGAUUAAUCAUAGGCGCGCCCUUUGCCAUUAAUUUGCGAUUGACACGUCCUGGAGGUCUCCCCGUUUCCACGGUACAGUAGCUCGCGCGUCAAGUCGCCGUCCCUACCCAUGGAAACGUGCGCGGAACGAAGCCUAGCUAGCUAACUCGCCGGCGGCGACCCGGGCUGAUCUGAGCCCAGCUAUACCUAAGUUCCUAACUCUUUGAACAACCACGUAGUUUGGAUCGAAAUUAAGAGAGAGGAAGUGCCGUACGUACCAUCCUUGCAUGAAGGAAGGCCCGCUGUUCUGCUGCUGCUGCUGGGGCGGGUAGCCCUGCUGGCCGUAUCCGGCCGGCGGGUAGCCCUGCUGUGGCGGCGGGUAGCCGGCCGGAGGGUACCCCUGCGGCGGGUAACCUGGAGAAUUGAAGGUCCACGCGCCACGCAAGGUCAAUUCUGUUCAGCAGUCGGGCAAAAGGUAGAAGGAGAAGUUGAUGAAAGGAGGCUGUCAUACCUUGCUGCGGCGGGGCGCCGACGGGCGCCUGCUGCUGGCCGUAGUAGCUCAUCUCCUUCCGGCCGGGGGUUUCUACUUUCUGGUCGGUCUCUCGCGCUGGCGCUGUGCAGUUCUACGGCUUGUGUUGGGCCGAGUGGUUUUAUAAAACGCGCCGGGAACGUGACUGACCUGGCUGGUGGG